This 581-nucleotide unclassified non-coding RNA is filed under the name Homo sapiens (human). RNAcentral describes it as "OCA2 melanosomal transmembrane protein (ENSG00000277361.2)". The record is from RNAcentral. Lineage: Eukaryota; Metazoa; Chordata; Mammalia; Primates; Hominidae.
ACUUCAGAACUGAAAUCACAGCCAGGAGGUUUCGGAUGCUGGAGGACUGCUCCACUGAUUUCCUGUGGUGCCUUCGAGCUCUGGGAUCUAUUGUUCUGCAUAACAUAAGCCAGGCUAGAAAAUCAGCUCAGUAUUUGUGGGCAAUACCUGAAAAGAAGAUAUUUGAAUUUGGAGUGUAUACCUUCUCCUUGGGUCACACGGUGUCCAAGGGGCCUUGCAAAGGGAACACAUCAGAUAACACACAAUAAUGACAAAAUAUCAACAAGAACAAGGGGCCAGGAACUCAUCACAUCCAUGUAAGAGCAGAGGAAAGCAGGCCUUGGUGGCAGGGACAGACGCAGCCCUGUGAGGCUCCCGCGUGGCCUGGAGCCCACCCCAUCAGCCCGCUGAGGAAAGGCCAGCAGAAGAUGAUUGGGAACACAGGAACCCGGCUCUCCUGGACCGAUCGGCAGCCACAGGUUUACUCCUCAAACCAGAUGAUCUUAGUAGCCAUAUUUUCAGAAACGGGAUUUUUCGAUUAUUGUGCUGUAAAGGCAUACCGGCUCUCCCGGGGACGGGUGUGGGCCAUGAUCAUCAUGCUC